UCCAGACUCCUACGGGAGGCAGCAGUGGGGAAUAUUGCACAAUGGGGGAAACCCUGAUGCAGCGACGCCGCGUGAGUGAAGAAGUAUUUCGGUAUGUAAAGCUCUAUCAGCAGGAACGAGACAAGACGGUACCUGACUAAGAAGCCCCGGCUAACUACGUGCCAGCAGCCGCGGUAAUACGUAGGGGGCAAGCGUUAUCCGGAAUUACUGGGUGUAAAGGGAGCGUAGACGGUGAAGUAAGUCUGGAGUGAAGGGCGGGGGAGCAACCCCCGGACUGCUCUGGAAACUAGUUGACUGGAGUGCAGAAGAGGUGAGCGGAAUUCCUGGUGUAGCGGUGAAA
This 340-nucleotide ribosomal RNA is filed under the name uncultured bacterium. RNAcentral's name for it is "bacterial SSU rRNA". It matches the Rfam family "Bacterial small subunit ribosomal RNA", at positions 330 to 686 of the family's 1533-position model. The record is from RNAcentral.